GAUGAACGCUGGCGGCGUGCCUAAUACAUGCAAGUCGAGCGAACAGACGAGGAGCUUGCUCCUCUGACGUUAGCGGCGGACGGGUGAGUAACACGUGGAUAACCUACCUAUAAGACUGGGAUAACUUCGGGAAACCGGAGCUAAUACCGGAUAAUAUAUUGAACCGCAUGGUUCAAUAGUGAAAGACGGUUUUGCUGUCACUUCUAGAUGGAUCCGCGCCGCAUUAGCUAGUUGGUAAGGUAACGGCUUACCAAGGCAACGAUGCGUAGCCGACCUGAGAGGGUGGUCGGCCACACUGGAACUGAGACACGGUCCAGACUCCUACGGGAGGCAGCAGUAGGGAAUCUUCCGCAAUGGGCGAAAGCCUGACGGAGCAACGCCGCGUGAGUGAUGAAGGUCUUCGGAUCGUAAAACUCUGUUAUUAGGGAAGAACAAAUGUGUAAGUAACUAUGCACGUCUUGACGGUACCUAAUCAGAAAGCCACGGCUAACUACGUG
Molecule: ribosomal RNA, 497 nt
Filed under: uncultured bacterium
Lineage: Bacteria
Description: partial 16S ribosomal RNA
Rfam family: Bacterial small subunit ribosomal RNA
Source: RNAcentral